GAUCAGUGGAGUAACGGAGCUUUCGAAAUUUCGAACCCAUUAUUUUUAGUGAUUUUCCAUUUUUUUACGGGGGUUUGAGAAACGUCAUCGGAUUGGGUGAAAAUGAGAUUCUUCGAGCGUGAUUCAUAGCUCGUCGAAAUGUAUACCAACGGGAGGGAAUGCGAGGAAACACAGAAAUGUUAAAAACUCUUUCACCCUGAGUUUUGUACGAAGCGCACGUGCGGUCGGCGUUCCGGGGCAUGUGUUGCCGGCGAAUCGUGCCGGCGUCGACGCUUUUCGCGAUAGAAAGAAUUGAAGACGAAAAGCUUCGGUUGGGCUCGAGUAAAAAUAAGCUUGGAGGGAAUUAACGCUUUCGGAAGAGUCCGAUACUUUUGGAUAAGCUAGUACGACUUCGACUCGCGGCUGACAUCACCAACGUAUCGUAAGCGUGACGCAAUUCUUCCCCGGCGCGCUACGGUGUCGCCCCCUGCGUCGUUUAACGGCCAACUCUAAAAAGAAGCUCUCGCCACGCCGCCCGCACCUCUUUCGUAUUUGUGUGCACCCGUACGACGCGCGUCAUAUGCAUACGCGUCCCAUCGCUCGUCGUAUGCCUCACAAUCAAUGGACUCGAAAGCCCCUCGCGCUCGAAACGACGCUUACUUUUUUGGGGAGCCCUGGAACGAGUGUUCACGGAAUUUCCCAUCAAUACGCUUUCCUUAUGUCCUCGUUUAAUCCCCUCCAACUUACCUGGAGGUUCUGCCAUAUCGCGUAGUGACAGAAUGGAAUUUUUCUUGACCGAUUAAACUCGAUAUUGUACUUAUAACUGUAAAACGUUAACUGGGAUUUUCACGGACGGGUACGCGAAGGCCUUUUUCUUGAGGACGAACACAAUGAAACUUUUCAAAAUGUGCAAACUUCCAACGGUUUUAUGGAUCGUCCCAUAGUAACGAGCUUCUAAAAUCCUCACUCAUUGUCCGCUGAACAAUCGAUCGAAAGUCGAAUCGAGAAAGACACGAGCUCGUGUACCUGGGUCGUCCCUUCGUUAGAUUCUGUAUACUGAUGUGUACCAAUAAAAAAGGAUAAUGGACUAGUAACUCAAUGUUUGGCGAAUAGAUUGAGGUUAUAGCAGCUAUGCCAUUGUGAUAUUUUGUGUAGAAUUUUAACACGUGAAAUUAAGUGCGACGAUCGAACAUAAAAAAUAACUAUUGACGCCAUUUUUCAUGAAAUGUUUGCACGUAUAUCUUGGCGAUCGUCAUCACUAAACAUAACCCUGAGACUACAUCAUUUCAACACAUUUAUGAUACCCUCAUAUUUCUGUGGCUGAAUUAGACUAGCAUUUUCCGAACCAAGCAUUUAUCGUUAUUCGGGUAUCGAAAUUCAUCGGAAUAUUCUUUUUCGUUGAAGUUGAUUUUCCACGGGCGGUGAGCGACGCGGAGACGAUCGGCUGUUUGAAAUUUCGAAAGUUUUUUUCGGACGUUCAACGAUGAAAGGAAAGCUGCGUCGGCCCACGCGGAAUCGCAGUAAAAAAAAAACCCAAAGUUUUUUUUUCUUGUUGGACGAAUAUUGAAUGUUCUCGGAAAUUUAGUUUUCACGUAAGAACGGAGUCAAAAAUGUAUCUCGAUGUGGUUCAAGUUCACAACGGAAUGUCGACUUUUUCGUUAAAUUUUCGUAUUUUUAUUCGAGCCUCCGAACACCAUCAGCCUUUGUCCGGAUUCCAGGAAAAAACUUGCAUUCGAAUUCAGUUAAUUUCGACUCGAUAAUUGGAAUCGUAAUAAAAAUCGUUGCAGGAAUAUUUCGAGAGCUGUUCCAAAGUGCCAACAAAAUAUGCGAUGUGUAUACAUUUAGUGAUGGGAUCGAACAACUUCUGAGAUUACUAACCUCCCACCUGUCGCAUGACCGACAUUUCGCUCGAAAAUGAUGGGAAAUAAAAGGCAAAAGAGGUUAAGGGUAUCUUAUCUCGAAUUGGCGAAGAUCGUAUAAACCUUGAAUUUAGCAGCGGAUGCUAACUAAUGUAUUCUGUACGAGUGUUUACCGAAGCGAAAUAUAUUGACCUUAUCGUUCCCGAUGUCAGCGCUACUAAUACGGAGAAUCGCGGUGAGCGAUCAGUCAACUAUCUCGCACGAGAAAAUCAGAGCCGAAACCCAACUUUUUCUCGAGUUUCUCUCGUGAUGACACAUCUAGCAAGUUUUAUUAGUGAAACACUAUUUUUCCAGCACACGAGCGAGCCUAGUGCGAUUCUUUGGUACUGAAAUAAAAUUGCACCACGUGGUUAGCCAUCGAAAUCCAUAUGCAUAUGUAUUUGUGGCUGAUUUGAAGUGCAAACAAAACCGCCGUCAGAGUCGCCACCGGCAGUACGAAUCGCCGAUUGCUUUUUAUAUACAAUGUCAAGAAAGUCCGCUGCUAUGAAUUUCAACAGAAUGUUGAAAACUGGUUAGUAAAGAGGAAAAUUAGCUUGUACGAACUUCAAGUGGAAUCGGCCUCAACAUGAGCGACAAAAAUUACAAAUGUGACAAUGUAUAAUUUCGUUUGCAACACGGUUACUAUUGUUGUUCGGAGAACCCAUCCAAUGGAAAUAAAAAUGAAAGGAACGUGUUGAAUCAACAGGGCACCUGAA
Molecule: long non-coding RNA, 2593 nt
Filed under: Venturia canescens
Lineage: Eukaryota; Metazoa; Arthropoda; Insecta; Hymenoptera; Ichneumonidae
Description: uncharacterized LOC122413803
Source: RNAcentral